Molecule: ribosomal RNA, 468 nt
Filed under: uncultured bacterium
Lineage: Bacteria
Description: partial 16S ribosomal RNA
Rfam family: Bacterial small subunit ribosomal RNA
Source: RNAcentral
GACGAACGCUGGCGGCGUGCUUAACACAUGCCAGUCGAACGGAAAGGCCCUGCUUUUGUGGGGUGCUCGAGUGGCGAACGGGUGCGUAACACGUGAGUAACCUGCCCUUGACUUUGGUAUAACUUCAGGAAACUGGGGCUAAUACCGGAUAGGAGCUCCUGCUGCAUGGUGGGGGUUGGAAAGUUUCGGCGGUUGGGGAUGGACUCGCGGCUUAUCAGCUGGUUGGUGGGGUAGUGGCUUACCAAGGCUUUGACGGGUAGCCGGCCUGAGAGGGUGACCGGCCACAUUGGGACUGAGAUACGGCCCAGACUCCUACGGGAGGCAGCAGUGGGGAAUAUUGCACAAUGGGCGGAAGCCUGAUGCAGCAACGCCGCGUGCGGGAUGACGGCCUUCGGGUUGUAAACCGCUUUCGCCUGUGACGAAGCGUGAGUGACGGUAAUGUGUAAAGAAGCACCGGCUAACUACGUG